RNAcentral lists this long non-coding RNA (363 nucleotides) under Salmo trutta (river trout). Its description in RNAcentral is "lncRNA (ENSSTUG00000019702.1)". The record is from RNAcentral. Lineage: Eukaryota; Metazoa; Chordata; Actinopteri; Salmoniformes; Salmonidae.
CGACACAGAGACCUACUGUAGUAGAGUCGAUGACACACAGCGACCUACUGUAGGAGAGUUGAUGACACACAGAGACCUACUGUAGGAGAGUCGAUGACACACAGAGACCUACUGUAGGAGAGUUGAUGACACACAGAGACCUACUGUAGGAGAGUUGAUGACACACAGAGGUCUACUGUAGGAGAGUCGAUGACACACAGAGACCUACUGUAGGAGAGUCGAUGACACAGAGGUCUACUGUAGGAGAGUCGAUGACACACAGGUCUACUGUAGGAGAGUUGAUGACACACAGAGACCUACUGUAGGAGAGUUGAUGACACACAGAGGCCUACUGUAGGAGAGUCGAUGACACACAGAGACCUA